GAACCAGCGGAGGGAUCAUUACUGAGUUUACGCUCUACAACCCUUUGUGAACAUACCUAUAACUGUUGCUUCGGCGGGUAGGGUCUCCGCGACCCUCCCGGCCUCCCGCCUCCGGGCGGGUCGGCGCCCGCCGGAGGAUAACCAAACUCUGAUUUAACGACGUUUCUUCUGAGUGGUACAAGCAAAUAAUCAAAACUUUUAACAACGGAUCUCUUGGUUCUGGCAUCGAUGAAGAACGCAGCGAAAUGCGAUAAGUAAUGUGAAUUGCAGAAUUCAGUGAAUCAUCGAAUCUUUGAACGCACAUUGCGCCCGCCAGCAUUCUGGCGGGCAUGCCUGUUCGAGCGUCAUUUCAACCCUCAAGCUCUGCUUGGUGUUGGGGCCCUACAGCCGAUGUAGGCCCUCAAAGGUAGUGGCGGACCCUCCCGGAGCCUCCUUUGCGUAGUAACUUUACGUCUCGCACUGGGAUCCGGAGGGACUCUUGCCGUAAAACCCCCCAAUUUUCCAAAGGUUGACCUCGGAUCAGGUAGGAAUAC
RNAcentral lists this ribosomal RNA (533 nucleotides) under Colletotrichum gloeosporioides. RNAcentral's name for it is "eukaryotic LSU rRNA". The stretch from base 194 to 347 matches the Rfam family "5.8S ribosomal RNA". The record is from RNAcentral. Lineage: Eukaryota; Fungi; Ascomycota; Sordariomycetes; Glomerellales; Glomerellaceae.